GCUUUCUCCGAUCUGCCAACCCACCACCCCACCACGCCUCGCUCUCUCUGCCCCCUCCUUCCCCACGCAGCGCCGAUGGGGCAGGGCCUCCGCGGCCGCCGGCGCCCUCUGCGACUCCUCUUCUCCAUGAUUCGCCCGCUAUUACUCCUCUCCUCCACGAUUCGUGGUGAUGUUGGGGUGGCAUCUUCUUCGAGCGGGAGGUGUGCCUCGUCCUCGCACAUGCUCGGCCGCGCCAUCGGAGCCCCCCGCAGUGUAGAGGCAGUGCUCCGCCACCCGAUGCUGUUCUUCGCGUCGUCCCGCGCUCCCAAAGCUGGGAACCGGCUCCCCGCCUCCAAGUUCUCGGCAUCGACGUCCCGUGCUGCCUGCAUCCUCGCCAAGCCCGACUCGCAGCCGUGUAGCCCGAGCUCGCCAAGGCGCUUCAACUCCGCCGCCGCGCCAUCUUCUUCAGGCGCUCGAGCACGAGCACAAGCUCGCCCGCGCCCCACCUCUCUCUGCCGCUCCGUCCGCCGCCCGCGGUGCCGUGACCCGUCACUGUCGUGCCCUGCAUCACUCUGUAGCCGCGCCGCCUGGGUCGAUGCGGUCAGCGCUCCCAAGCCGUUGACCCCGCGCCAGGGGACGACUAUUUCCUCCCAUGCGUGCGCGCCCGUGCUCCAGCCCUCCCCUCCCCAUGCUGCCGGCACACUCGCGCCGCGGGGCCGUAUCCAGCCUGUGCCUGGACGACGGAAGCCCCCCCACUGUCCGUGCGCUCCGGCCAGCUCCCUGUCGCGCUCGAGACCUCCUCGAGUCUUCCCGCCGAGGCCUUCCCGGUGACCAGCCUUUGACUUGGGUCUCCUGUCCGCCUCGGCGCGGACGCCCGCCACGACGCCGGUGGCAAGCGGCGGCGCGUGCCCGGCGAUGGAGAACGGCAGGAUAAGCGGUGAGAGGCGCGGUGGUGAGCCAGUCCAAUAAGAGAUAAGGGUUGCGGGUAUAAUUUCUAACAAAUGCAGGGGGUUUUUACGCAAAACCAAACAUUUUUCUAAAUUGCCACUAAAACAGGGACUGCGGGUUGAUUUAUGUAAACCGAGGGGCUUUUUUGUAAAACUGCCAGGACGACGGACGACAGAAACCCAAUUCUCUUUAUUUUGAAGAAGAAGAAGAUUAGUCCGUAAAGCCCCUGUAAAUUGCCCGUUUGUGUAGCAUUACUCCUUUUCUUUUGAACCCAGUACAGGCGCAAGUAGUC
Molecule: ribosomal RNA, 1219 nt
Filed under: Triticum aestivum (bread wheat)
Lineage: Eukaryota; Viridiplantae; Streptophyta; Magnoliopsida; Poales; Poaceae
Description: partial small subunit ribosomal RNA
Source: RNAcentral